AUACGGAGGGUGCAAGCGUUAAUCGGAAUUACUGGGCGUAAAGCGUACGUAGGCGGUUAUUUAAGUCAGAUGUGAAAGCCCCGGGCUUAACUUGGGAACUGCAUUUGAAACUGGGUAACUAGAGUUUAGUAGAGGGGAGUGGAAUUUCAGGUGUAGCGGUGAAAUGCGUAGAGAUCUGAAGGAACACCAGUGGCGAAGGCGACUCCCUGGACUAAAACUGACGUUGAGGUACGAAAGCGUGGGUAGCAAACAGGAUUAGAAACCCCAGUAGUCC
Molecule: ribosomal RNA, 274 nt
Filed under: uncultured bacterium
Lineage: Bacteria
Description: partial 16S ribosomal RNA
Rfam family: Bacterial small subunit ribosomal RNA
Source: RNAcentral